Molecule: ribosomal RNA, 324 nt
Filed under: uncultured eukaryote
Lineage: Eukaryota
Description: partial 18S ribosomal RNA
Rfam family: Eukaryotic small subunit ribosomal RNA
Source: RNAcentral
CCCUUAGAUGUCUUGGGCCGCACACGCGCUACAAUGAUGCAACCAACGAGUGCUGCUCCUUGGCCGAGAGGCCCGGGGAACCUUGCAAACUGCAUCGUGCUGGGGAUAGAUGAUUGCAAUUCUUCAUCUUGAACGAGGAAUGCCUUGUAAGCGUGAGUCAUCAACUCGCGCUGAAUACGUCCCUGCCCUUUGUACACACCGCCCGUCGCUCCUACCGAUUGAAUGUUUCGGUGAAGAUUCCGGAUAGGACUUUUUUGAUUUAUUUCAAUUCUGUCUUAAAAGCUAUCUAAACCUCAACAUUUAGAGGAAGGUGAAGUCGUAACA